RNAcentral lists this non-coding RNA (838 nucleotides) under Pan troglodytes (chimpanzee). The record is from RNAcentral. Lineage: Eukaryota; Metazoa; Chordata; Mammalia; Primates; Hominidae.
GCCACAAGAGGUCUGCAGUGAAGGUCCCAAAGUCCCAGACAAGUCCCCUCUUGUUGCCCAGGCUGGAGUGCAGCAGCAUGAUUACAGCUCACAUCAGCCUCGACCUCCCGGGCUCAAGCUAUCCUCCUACCUCAGCCUCCCAAGUAGCUGGGACUAUAGGUUCAAGUGAUUCUCCUGCCUCAGCUUCCCGAGUAGCUGGGACUACAGGCGUGUGCCACCACGCCCAGGAUCUUUCUGCUGAUGCAGCUGUUAAGAGUGUUUCAUAAACUGUGACAACACUGAGCAAAAUCAUAGAAGGAAACUCUAUGGACAAUUUCAGAUGGAGAAGAAGAAAGGACUGGAAGUUCAAUUUGGCCAUGACAAUUAGACUUGAAGAAGCUGAGUGAGAAGGCCAUGCAGAUAUCUUGGAGAAGUGCAUUCCAGGCAGAGGAAAAGCCAGUGCAGAGACACUGAAGCAGGGCAUGACUGAUGUGUAUAAGGAGCAUCAUAUACAUGAUCAUCUACAGUCCACUGAGAAUAGCAGACGAAAGGCCAGGUGCAGUGCAUGUAAUCCCAGCACUUUGGGAGACUGAGAUGGGAAGAUCGCUUGAGGCCAGGAGUGCAAGACCAGCCUGGGCAACACAGCAAGACCUUGACUCUACUAAAAAAAAAAAAGGAUCCUUCAACUUCAACAAUAAUAACACGAGGGAAGUGAAGAAAAACACUUUCUAAGGAAAUCUCUCUCUGAGCUACCAUCCUGCUAGGGAGAGCCUGAAAGCAGAAUGCUGACUUGACUAGCUCUGGUCAAUGAAAGAAAUCACUAGUGGAAAGGCUACCAGGGGGCUUUCUCAAAAGAGAG